Molecule: long non-coding RNA, 3653 nt
Organism: Alligator mississippiensis (American alligator)
Lineage: Eukaryota; Metazoa; Chordata; Crocodylia; Alligatoridae
Exons: 3
Source: RefSeq, a predicted model, not a curated record
UUAAAGCAUGUUCUGUUUUGAUCCUCUGCAGUUAGUGUGUGGUUCUGGCCUGCUCUGAAUACAUAGGCAGACUUAACACCUGGCCUUUUCUUUCCCCUCCCAUUGCUGAGGAGAAGAGAGGAUGGACUUGACUCCAAUACUCAGAUCUUCCACCAACCUCAACAAGAAGCUGAACAUCAGAGAAGGCAGCUUUAGGACUGAACAUCACAGAAAGAGUGCCUGUUCUCUUCCCAAAGAAGGAGCGUGGAGCUGGGAUACAACGGUGACUCUCUCCUGCACUUCAUGCUGGCCAGUCUAUGUGGAGGUAUCGGUUUCAAUGCUUCAGGGAAAGACUCCCAGCUGCUUGAGAGACCACUAUGUGAUGACAAGGAAGGAAUGGAGGAAUAACUUCAGAGCAACAAGUGACUGAGGCCUGGGGAAUUAGCCACUACAGCAUGCCAUAAGAUUUUUUUUAAUGCUACCCGGGGACACUAAAAGAAUUUGUUUCAUGAAGUAAAUUGUUCAAAUGAGACUUUCUUUUCAUCUCAGAAAGUGAAUCUCUGUAUAAUCCCUAUUUUAGACAAUUUCCCAGACUACAGGAAAUGCUGCCUGCAUUGGGAUUCCUGUGUGCCCAACUCAUGGGACAACAUGAAGCCUGCCCAUCCCAUGCAGACAGCAGAACAGCCCCUCACAUACAGGGAAGGUCCUGAUGUCCAUCAGACUGCCCACAGAUGCUGGACGGCUGUAUCCUGAGCUCUUCUAAUCUGGCUUUCCUGCACGAGCUACAGCAUGCCACAGAAAGAAAGCGACUGUGACGAUUUUCUUAAUUAGUGGGGGCCAACCUCUCUGGCAGGCGUGCCAUGAAUUAACCCCAUACCCUUUCCCCAAUCCUGCUCUGAUCGGCUGCUUUCUGCUCUCUGCCUGAUCCGCUGCUCUGUUUUUGGCUCCCUCCUCAAUUAGCCACAUGUGGCACACAGAGGCUGCCUGUACUACCUGUGGCAUACAUGCAGUGGGUUGGCCAUCCCAAUCUACAGGAUUCUUGGAAGGCAUUGCCUUUUCACCACCAGUGAAAGCCAGUGAUCUGCGCUUGUAAUGUUGCAACAUUGAUUGUCAGCUACUCUGUCUAAGGCACAUAUAGCACCAGGCCACUAUUAGCAGUUAACAAAAUAAAUCCAAAUGUCAUCCAAUGACAGUCCAGGAACUUACCCCUCUCUGAUCAAAUUGCCAAGAAAGGGUGUACGUGCAAAGGGAUUUCAGGUAAAGCAAAUGUUUCUGGAGAAUGAAGUCCUUUCUCCAUGGAACUGAUACAGCACAGGCAGCAGCCCUGCCAGCAUGCUUCAGCCCUGGCCUCGGGGAUGAGUUUUCUGGGAAAGAUAAUGCAUUGAUUUGCUGUCUGUGCUCACUUGAUCCUUGGGCUCCCAGCUGAGUCCAGGUCUGGAAUAAUUUAUGGAGACAGGGCCAAGCUCGUGGGUUCAAGGCUUUUCAUGAGAUGCCCAGUUCCCCAAGAGCAGGGCCUCCCUUUGCUGUUGCGUGGCUCAUGUCUGAGGUCAGCCUGGACUGAACCUGAAUCCGAGGUGGGAACUUAGUGCCACUUGCCAUUGCUGUGCUUGUGAUGGGCCACUGAGAACAGGGCUGAGACAAAACCAUGCAUUCCACACCGUUUGCUAAACAGCCAUAGAACAGCACCGGUUUGGGGAAAACAAAAAACUGUAUCAAGUGUCUAGUUCACAUGUACAAACACCUUUGGUUUUCAAGUCAAGACCUGUUGCUAGCCACGGGCAUACACUGCAUCUAGGACAAUGGGAUUUCUAUCAUGUAUCAAACCUCAUGCUACCAAAAUACAACAACUAUAUAAUCUAGAGGUAACCUGGUAACUCUACGCUAAAACACAGCCCUAUUGCAAGCCAGCUCUUGCUCCACUGAGAUCAACUGGUCCAUGUUGCAUUUAUUUUAUACCUGGUAGGAAUGGACCCUGUGUUCACAAGAGUGGAUAAUAAGGAAGGAUUAGCUUCCCAGUCUGGAAUGGGCAAAUGCCCAAAGUAAAAUCAUCCUUAAGAAGCUUUUCCUGUAGUAAGUAGAAAACUUCAGAGAGAUUCUUUAGAAAGAAUGUCCUAAAUAAUGUACUAUGGACUGUACGUCCAGUCCUGUAGCACUAACUUGUGAGCAAAUUUAAGGAAGACCAAGAAGAAUUGAAGAUGCAAGAAGGAGCCCUUGAGGGCCUCAUCUUGAGAACUUGUAUCACCUAUUGAAAACAGUGGGACUGCUCAUCUAAGCAGAGGUGGCAAGAUCAGGAUGUCAGCCUGCUGGAAAACAUGGAUGCUCAAGACUUCUGUGUCAAGACUCCAGUGUGGCAGGGAAUGCUCUGGGACUCUGUGCACUUUUCUUUUCAUUGACACCUCUGGAAGGUUAUUGGCUGUUCUUGGGAAGAUGCAGAUGCUGGGGUGCUAUUUGGGGAUCCUAUAGUGCGAGUAGGUCACAACUUUCCAUUGCAUGAUGCGUUUGGGACAGACAGAAUAGCCCAGUGCCCUCUGCAGCCCCCAGCUCCAGCUCUUUCCUCUCCCCUCUCUUGGGACCCAUCUACUCAGCACCUUUUGCCAGGUUGGGUGCUCAUGUUACACUGCCUUGGGUCUCACCUCUACACGGGACCACAGAGUGUCCUAAACAAGGUAACAGUUCUAGUCUUUAGUCACUAUGCUACCUUAAAGCCUUUACAGGCACGUCUCUACCUGCUAGUGUGCCGAGAGGAUACAUUCAUUGAUUUGUGAGGCGAUCAGAUGAGAUGGUGCAAAGUACUUCACUCUGUGGUGCAAAGUACUUCACUCCAUACCCCGCCCCCCCAUCCUCCCCGACCCUGCCCCUCAUGCAGAAGUGAACCGGUGAUUUGUGUUCUAAAGGUUACUUGGUAUUUUGGAUAAACUGUCCCAUUACAGAACAGAACAUCUGGCUUAUUCAAACCGGGUGAGCAGGGAUUUAACUGCUGCUUCACCUUACUCUUAAACAAGACCAUGCUGAAUGAUUAAGAGCAAAGCAGAGGAUUUUGGAGUUUUAGGCAUGUGAGCUGGGAGCUUGGGGAGGAGAUUUCAGGCACCAGCAGAGCUCUCAACUUUGGCAAACUGUUUUCUACAACUUUUUUUUUGUGCAAAUCUCCCUUUGGCAGAGCACAUCCAGCAUCAACUCGCAGCGGCUGCCUGCACACGAGCGAGUGGUGUUUGUAGAGUCCUCUUGCUUUCUGUGCUCAUUGCCCAAGUCCAGCUCUGGAAUAAUUUAUGGAGAACGGGUCAAGCUCGUGGGUUCAAGGCUUUGCAUGAUGCCCAGUUCCCCAAGAGCAGGGCUUUCCUUUGCCGCUUGCAAGCUCUGAGCCUAGCAACCUCAGGGAGAAAGUUCUGCCUGGAUCUCCUGCCUCUAACCAUCCUGGGGCAGGCAGGGAGCAGCAAAGAAAGCCAGGGCUGUUCCCUGGGCUUUUCAGUGUCCAUUCUCCAUCCUGCUCUCACUCCCCUUGUCUUCUCUAAAGACAAGGCAAAGUUUGAGCUCUGUGCCUGGCUCUGCCCUCCCCUCGCUUCCUUCAAUAUUUGUACUGUAAUAAUAACCCAAGCAGUGAGCGCAGGGGACCCUUUAACCAAUACGUGCGGGUUUCAGCGCUUGUUUAACACACACACACACACACACACACACAC